GCUAACUCACCAACAGAGCUGCGAGCUUGCGGGAAAUAUUGUGAUUAACAGAACACAGACUGGGACAAGAGGUGUUUCCCAAGGGCACACUGACCCCAGUGUCUUCACUGGGAAGAGGAAACUGUGGGCCUCAGGUUGGCCAGUCAUACUUGACCAGGGCACAGGGGGAUGGCCAUGGAACACUGAUGUGUGAGAUCCUUUUCCUGAGAAGGGGAGUCUGGAAGCUCCAGAUCAGUGUCCUGUGUUUCUCGCAGUUCUUCAGCAAGGUUCCUCAUUAGGCCACAUUCAACCCUGGCAUCCCAGCCACCCAUCUCCUGCAGGACAGCCAGGGUUUAGUUCGAAGGUCAGUGAUGAUAUGAAAAAAGCACGCAGUGAAAAUACUCUGGAAAAUUUCCAACGAAUACAGCUUUGCAUCUAUAGGCCGACGCUGAACUACGUACAACUGGGUACAGGGAGUGACGGAGAGCAAAACCAGCUAAGGUAUGGACAGCUCCAGAUGUGUUAAAUCAUUUAAUUCUCCAAGCCAUUCUGUGAAGAAUGUGAUAUGACUCUGCCCAUCAUAAAGUUUAAGAAACUGAGGCAUGCGAAAGUUAAGAAAGCUUCUCAAGGUCACAUGACUGGAAAGUGACUGACAGAGCCCUGGCAGCCUGUCUCUGGGCUGCUCUGGGGAGUAGACAAUUGUGUAUGCUGGGGAACCAUCGUGUAACCCCCCUCUCAGCAACCCUCAGCGAGCAAGGCCUCUGCUGCCCAGGAUGGCAACACUGUCAGGGUUGGGAGGGAACGCUCUCAUUAAGCCAUCUGACUCAUUAUUCCAAAGUAAUACAUGUGGUUUCAGCUUCCAGUGUGUGUCGGGGAAUCUUACAUUCAUUCUGCUCUGAAAAUGAGGAUGAGCCAGGCCCCAAGCUCUUCCUGACCCUGGCGUCCCAGCUUUGUGGAUGGGGAAAUGGGCAGUGGAGAGACUGGGCACAGUGUGCAAGGUGUCAGAGGUGCCUCACUGACUUUCGGGAGAGAAAGUCAUGAGAGUCAGUGGUUCAACUUCAGGCACCCACUGCCCAACCAAGACGAUAGUGAGGGUACUGCCACCAUGGCCGAGACAAGUGGCUAGGCCUGGCCUUGACGGAGUAGCAGGGAAGAGAGGUGAAUUCCUCCUCCUAAUGAGAGAGAGAUGGAGAGCUGACUGCUUUACUGUAGGGGUAAGGAAAGAGAAAAGCAAAGGAAUUCCAGAAAAACAUCUGCUUCGUUGACUAUGCUAAAGCCUUUGACUGUAUGGUCACAGCAAACUGUGGAAAAUUCUUCAAGGGAUGGGAAUACCAGACCUCCUUACCUGUCUCCUGAGAAACCUGUAUGCAGGUCAAGAGGCAACAGUUAGAACUGGACAUGGAACAAUGGGCUGGUUCAAAAUUAGGAAAGAAUAUGUCAAGGCUGUAUAUUGUUACCCUGCUUAUUUAACUUAUUUGCAAAGCACAUCAUGUGAAAAGUCAGGAUGGAUGAAGGUCAAGCUGGAAUCAGGAUUGCCGGGAGAAAUAUCAAUAAGCUCAGAUAUGCAGAUGACACCACCCUAAUGGCAGAAAGUGAAGAGGAACUAAAGAGCCUCUUGAUAAAAGUGAAAGAGGAGAGUGAAAAAACUGGCUUAAAAUUUCAACCUUCAAAACACUAAGAUCAUGGCAUCCAGUCCCAUCACUUCAUGGCAAAAAGAAAACAAACAAACAAACAAACAAAAAAACC
This is a long non-coding RNA of Bos taurus (domestic cattle), 1725 nucleotides long. The record is from Ensembl. NCBI's taxonomy places the organism in Eukaryota, Metazoa, Chordata, Mammalia, Artiodactyla, Bovidae.